Molecule: long non-coding RNA, 480 nt
Filed under: Monodelphis domestica (gray short-tailed opossum)
Lineage: Eukaryota; Metazoa; Chordata; Mammalia; Didelphimorphia; Didelphidae
Description: lncRNA (ENSMODG00000035512.2)
Source: RNAcentral
GUUCAAAUCCAGUCUCUGCUACAAGCGUUACCAGUGAAUCUACCAUCUUGUCUUUCACAAGCAACUAAAUAGAUGGCAGUUGAAGAACUGAGCAUUUAUCCAAUGUCUAUAUGUUAAAGAGAUAUCCUUCUUAUUUAGGAAGGACAAGAGAGCAGAACAUGCAGCAUUAUCAAGGAAAAAUAUUCAAGUAAACAAUCAAAAUGAAUUGAAUUGAGUAGGUAAAGAAUUUUCUUAUAUCCAUAGAGAUUCUUGAAGACUCAUAUCCUUAGUUAUAGAGGAAUUGAAAUCUCUGUUGUUGGAAGGAAAAAAAAAUCUACAGUAACAAAAUGAUGGAUCCUUGAAGUAUUUGCUAUAACUGCAAUAAGAUCAACUGAAAUCCAUUUGGGACUUCCCAGGAAGGCCAUAGGAAGCCUAGAUUAGUCCCUCCUCUUGCUGGUGCCUUCUCUACAAUGUACAUAAUAAAUAUCUUCUAUAAACCCA